AGUGAAAGAGUGAAAGAGCUCAGAUUGUGUUCCUGCUGCACAAGAGCGUCUGUACUUCUGCAUUUUACUCGUGAUGAGCUUCUGGAUUUGAGUGUCUCAGCUGCUGAUCUAUUCCUGCAUUCAGCUGAAUUAUGAAGGCUGAUCAAUGACUGGAGAUCUGUGAUUGUUCAUCAGUUUCUGCUGGAGAUCAAACUCUUCAGGUCCAUCAUGGGUAACACACACACUGCUGGAGAUCAGGAUUUGUCUACAGGAUGCAGUUCAGUUCAUCAGAAGAGAGCAGAAGCAGAGCCCAGCUGUGUGUCUAUGAAGAGUGGCGCGUCUAUGGAUCCACCAGUAAAAUUUAAGAGUGGAAACACACGACCUGCUGUCAGGUAGAUCAUCUCUACACACA
Molecule: non-coding RNA, 391 nt
Organism: Danio rerio (zebrafish)
Lineage: Eukaryota; Metazoa; Chordata; Actinopteri; Cypriniformes; Danionidae
Source: RefSeq, a predicted model, not a curated record